Molecule: microRNA precursor, 89 nt
Filed under: Petromyzon marinus (sea lamprey)
Lineage: Eukaryota; Metazoa; Chordata; Hyperoartia; Petromyzontiformes; Petromyzontidae
Description: microRNA pma-mir-212 precursor
Gene: pma-mir-212
Source: miRBase by way of RNAcentral
UUAGCCACGCCCCGCGCGUCGUGACGUGGGAUUGAUUACGUCAUCGCGCAGUAACAGUCUUACGUCAUGGCUGCGCGGGGCGGAGCACC